AGUUUGAUCCUGGCUCAGGAUAAACGCUGGCGGCGUGCCUUAUGCAUGCAAGUCGAACGAGACCAAGGCUUCGGCCUGACGUCUAGUGGCGCACGGGUGAGUAACACGUACGUGACCUGUCCCGACGUGGGGGAUAACCAGCCGAAAGGUUGGCUAAUACCGCAUGUGGACACCCCUUGGAAGGGGAUGUCGAAAGUAGCAAUACGCGUUGGGAGGGGCGUGCGGCCGAUUAGCUAGUUGGUGUGGUAACGGCACACCAAGGCGAUGAUCGGUAGCUGGUCUGAGAGGAUGGUCAGCCACACUGGGACUGAGACACGGCCCAGACUCCUACGGGAGGCAGCAGCAGGGAAUUUUGCGCAAUGGGCGAAAGCCUGACGCAGCAACGCCGCGUGGGGGAUGAAGGCUCUUGGGUCGUAAACCCCUUUUGCCGGGGAAGAUCGUGACGGUACCCGGCGAAUAAGCCACGGCUAACUACGUGCCAGCAGCCGCGGUAAUACGUAGGUGGCAAGCGUUGUCCGGAUUUAUUGGGCGUAAAGCGCGCGCAGGUGGUUCGUUGCGUCCGAGGUGAAAUCUCCCGGCUCAACUGGGAGGGGUCUUCGGAUACGGGCGGACUUGAGGAGAGCAGAGGUAGGCGGAAUUCUGGGUGUAGUGGUGAAAUGCGUAGAUAUCCAGAGGAACACCAGUGGCGAAGGCGGCCUACUGGGCUCCACCUGACACUGAGGCGCGAAAGCGUGGGGAGCGAACCGGAUUAGAUACCCGGGUAGUCCACGCCGUAAACGAUGCGAACUGGAAGUUGGGGGCAACUUGGCCCUCAGUUUCGAAGCUAACGCGUUAAGUUCGCCGCCUGGGAAGUACGGUCGCAAGACUGAAACUCAAAGGAAUUGACGG
RNAcentral lists this ribosomal RNA (888 nucleotides) under uncultured bacterium. RNAcentral's name for it is "bacterial SSU rRNA". It matches the Rfam family "Bacterial small subunit ribosomal RNA", at positions 10 to 916 of the family's 1533-position model. The record is from RNAcentral.